AUUGCAUCGGCUUUCGGCAUCCUGGUCAGCAGUCACAACCAACAGGAACCGCAGGAAAUGUUCCACCCAGCCAGGCCGACCUUGGCUGGCUUUGGAGAAGGACAUUGCUGGAUCCAGUGCACGUCCAGCUGGAAUGUGACGGACCAGUAAGGCUGGAAAAAUCUCCCGCCGCAGUCGUCUUGGCUUGGACCAGGUUCAUCCAUCGCAGCCGUCACAACCGCCUCCUCGUCCCCAUCCGCGGUCUCAGUCAUCAGGAAUCGCAGGAACGAUCCUCCCAGCCAGGCUGUCCUAAGCUGGCAGUAAGGAUGGAGAAAAUCCCCCGCCGCAGUCACAACCAACAGGAACCGCAGGAAAUGUUCCACCCAGCCAGGCCGACCUUGGCUGGCUUUGGAGAAGGACAUUGCUGGAUCCAGUGCACGUCCAGCUGGAAUGUGACGGACCAGUAAGGCUGGAAAAAUCUCCCGCCGCAGUCGUCUUGGCUUGGACCAGGUUCAUCCAUCGCAGCCGUCACAACCGCCUCCUCGUCCCCAUCCGCGGUCUCAGUCAUCAGGAAUCGCAGGAACGAUCCUCCCAGCCAGGCUGUCCUAAGCUGGCAGUAAGGAUGGAGAAAAUCCCCCGCCGCAGUCACAACCAACAGGAACCGCAGGAAAUGUUCCACCCAGCCAGGCCGACCUUGGCUGGCUUUGGAGAAGGACAUUGCUGGAUCCAGUGCACGUCCAGCUGGAAUGUGACGGACCAGUAAGGCUGGAAAAAUCUCCCGCCGCAGUCGUCUUGGCUUGGACCAGGUUCAUCCAUCGCAGCCGUCACAACCGCCUCCUCGUCCCCAUCCGCGGUCUCAGUCAUCAGGAAUCGCAGGAACGAUCCUCCCAGCCAGGCUGUCCUAAGCUGGCAGUAAGGAUGGAGAAAAUCCCCCGCCGCAGUCACAACCAACAGGAACCGCAGGAAAUGUUCCACCCAGCCAGGCCGACCUUGGCUGGCUUUGGAGAAGGACAUUGCUGGAUCCAGUGCACGUCCAGCUGGAAUGUGACGGACCAGUAAGGCUGGAAAAAUCUCCCGCCGCAGUCGUCUUGGCUUGGACCAGGUUCAUCCAUCGCAGCCGUCACAACCGCCUCCUCGUCCCCAUCCGCGGUCUCAGUCAUCAGGAAUCGCAGGAACGAUCCUCCCAGCCAGGCUGUCCUAAGCUGGCAGUAAGGAUGGAGAAAAUCCCCCGCCGCAGUCACAACCAACAGGAACCGCAGGAAAUGUUCCACCCAGCCAGGCCGACCUUGGCUGGCUUUGGAGAAGGACAUUGCUGGAUCCAGUGCACGUCCAGCUGGAAUGUGACGGACCAGUAAGGCUGGAAAAAUCUCCCGCCGCAGUCGUCUUGGCUUGGACCAGGUUCAUCCAUCGCAGCCGUCACAACCGCCUCCUCGUCCCCAUCCGCGGUCUCAGUCAUCAGGAAUCGCAGGAACGAUCCUCCCAGCCAGGCUGUCCUAAGCUGGCAGUAAGGAUGGAGAAAAUCCCCCGCCGCAGUCACAACCAACAGGAACCGCAGGAAAUGUUCCACCCAGCCAGGCCGACCUUGGCUGGCUUUGGAGAAGGACAUUGCUGGAUCCAGUGCACGUCCAGCUGGAAUGUGACGGACCAGUAAGGCUGGAAAAAUCUCCCGCCGCAGUCGUCUUGGCUUGGACCAGGUUCAUCCAUCGCAGCCGUCACAACCGCCUCCUCGUCCCCAUCCGCGGUCUCAGUCAUCAGGAAUCGCAGGAACGAUCCUCCCAGCCAGGCUGUCCUAAGCUGGCAGUAAGGAUGGAGAAAAUCCCCCGCCGCAGUCACAACCAACAGGAACCGCAGGAAAUGUUCCACCCAGCCAGGCCGACCUUGGCUGGCUUUGGAGAAGGACAUUGCUGGAUCCAGUGCACGUCCAGCUGGAAUGUGACGGACCAGUAAGGCUGGAAAAAUCUCCCGCCGCAGUCGUCUUGGCUUGGACCAGGUUCAUCCAUCGCAGCCGUCACAACCGCCUCCUCGUCCCCAUCCGCGGUCUCAGUCAUCAGGAAUCGCAGGAACGAUCCUCCCAGCCAGGUUGUCCUAAGCUGGCAGUAAGGAUGGAGAAAAUCCCCCGCCGCAGUCACAACCAACAGGAACCGCAGGAAAUGUUCCACCCAGCCAGGCCGACCUUGGCUGGCUUUGGAGAAGGACAUUGCUGGAUCCAGUGCACGUCCAGCUGGAAUGUGACGGACCAGUAAGGCUGGAAAAAUCUCCCGCCGCAGUCGUCUUGGCUUGGACCAGGUUCAUCCAUCGCAGCCGUCACAACCGCCUCCUCGUCCCCAUCCGCGGUCUCAGUCAUCAGGAAUCGCAGGAACGAUCCUCCCAGCCAGGCUGUCCUAAGCUGGCAGUAAGGAUGGAGAAAAUCCCCCGCCGCAGUCACAACCAACAGGAACCGCAGGAAAUGUUCCACCCAGCCAGGCCGACCUUGGCUGGCUUUGGAGAAGGACAUUGCUGGAUCCAGUGCACGUCCAGCUGGAAUGUGACGGACCAGUAAGGCUGGAAAAAUCUCCCGCCGCAGUCGUCUUGGCUUGGACCAGGUUCAUCCAUCGCAGCCGUCACAACCGCCUCCUCGUCCCCAUCCGCGGUCUCAGUCAUCAGGAAUCGCAGGAACGAUCCUCCCAGCCAGGCUGUCCUAAGCUGGCAGUAAGGAUGGAGAAAAUCCCCCGCCGCAGUCACAACCAACAGGAACCGCAGGAAAUGUUCCACCCAGCCAGGCCGACCUUGGCUGGCUUUGGAGAAGGACAUUGCUGGAUCCAGUGCACGUCCAGCUGGAAUGUGACGGACCAGUAAGGCUGGAAAAAUCUCCCGCCGCAGUCGUCUUGGCUUGGACCAGGUUCAUCCAUCGCAGCCGUCACAACCGCCUCCUCGUCCCCAUCCGCGGUCUCAGUCAUCAGGAAUCGCAGGAACGAUCCUCCCAGCCAGGCUGUCCUAAGCUGGCAGUAAGGAUGGAGAAAAUCCCCCGCCGCAGUCACAACCAACAGGAACCGCAGGAAAUGUUCCACCCAGCCAGGCCGACCUUGGCUGGCUUUGGAGAAGGACAUUGCUGGAUCCAGUGCACGUCCAGCUGGAAUGUGACGGACCAGUAAGGCUGGAAAAAUCUCCCGCCGCAGUCGUCUUGGCUUGGACCAGGUUCAUCCAUCGCAGCCGUCACAACCGCCUCCUCGUCCCCAUCCGCGGUCUCAGUCAUCAGGAAUCGCAGGAACGAUCCUCCCAGCCAGGCUGUCCUAAGCUGGCAGUAAGGAUGGAGAAAAUCCCCCGCCGCAGUCACAACCAACAGGAACCGCAGGAAAUGUUCCACCCAGCCAGGCCGACCUUGGCUGGCUUUGGAGAAGGACAUUGCUGGAUCCAGUGCACGUCCAGCUGGAAUGUGACGGACCAGUAAGGCUGGAAAAAUCUCCCGCCGCAGUCGUCUUGGCUUGGACCAGGUUCAUCCAUCGCAGCCGUCACAACCGCCUCCUCGUCCCCAUCCGCGGUCUCAGUCAUCAGGAAUCGCAGGAACGAUCCUCCCAGCCAGGCUGUCCUAAGCUGGCAGUAAGGAUGGAGAAAAUCCCCCGCCGCAGUCACAACCAACAGGAACCGCAGGAAAUGUUCCACCCAGCCAGGCCGACCUUGGCUGGCUUUGGAGAAGGACAUUGCUGGAUCCAGUGCACGUCCAGCUGGAAUGUGACGGACCAGUAAGGCUGGAAAAAUCUCCCGCCGCAGUCGUCUUGGCUUGGACCAGGUUCAUCCAUCGCAGCCGUCACAACCGCCUCCUCGUCCCCAUCCGCGGUCUCAGUCAUCAGGAAUCGCAGGAACGAUCCUCCCAGCCAGGCUGUCCUAAGCUGGCAGUAAGGAUGGAGAAAAUCCCCCGCCGCAGUCACAACCAACAGGAACCGCAGGAAAUGUUCCACCCAGCCAGGCCGACCUUGGCUGGCUUUGGAGAAGGACAUUGCUGGAUCCAGUGCACGUCCAGCUGGAAUGUGACGGACCAGUAAGGCUGGAAAAAUCUCCCGCCGCAGUCGUCUUGGCUUGGACCAGGUUCAUCCAUCGCAGCCGUCACAACCGCCUCCUCGUCCCCAUCCGCGGUCUCAGUCAUCAGGAAUCGCAGGAACGAUCCUCCCAGCCAGGCUGUCCUAAGCUGGCAGUAAGGAUGGAGAAAAUCCCCCGCCGCAGUCACAACCAACAGGAACCGCAGGAAAUGUUCCACCCAGCCAGGCCGACCUUGGCUGGCUUUGGAGAAGGACAUUGCUGGAUCCAGUGCACGUCCAGCUGGAAUGUGACGGACCAGUAAGGCUGGAAAAAUCUCCCGCCGCAGUCGUCUUGGCUUGGACCAGGAUGGCCAAAUCGGACCUGUGGCGGUCAUCAAAUCCAAAUGGAGUAGGAGUAGCUGGCGUCGCGGGUUGCAUCAGGAUUUGUUGUGGCGGCCAUCGAAUCCAAAUGGAGUAGGAGUAGCUGGCGGCGCGGGUUGCAUCAGGAUUUGCUGUGGCGGCCAUCGAAUACAAAUGGAGUAGGAGUAGCUAGCGUCUCGGGUUGCAUCGGGAUUUGCUACUCAACCGAGGCGAGAGGAUUGGCAGGAGCGUAGAUAAGUUUUAAAGUUGAUUUUAUGGUGUUGAUUGUAGUUUUCGUGCAAUGGGAUUUUAGUUGUGUUAAUAUGUGUUAAUAUUCCUUUUCAGCAUGGCCAAAACGGAUCUGUGGCAUCCAUCAGGUCCAGUAAAGAAACGCAAGGCAGGAGUGGCUGGUUUCUGGGUAGCAUGCAGGAUUUGCUGCGUCGAGGCGAGGAUUUGAGCAGGAAGGUAGAGUAGUUUGACCAAAACAAGCGUAUGGCGGCUUUUUUCAAGUUUACUCAACGACACUCAGGAGAAGACUGUUGAUUUUUUCAAGUUUACUCAACGACACUCAGGAGAAGACUGUUGAUCAGAAUUCCCUGGUCGUUAUAUUUAUUGCCCUCUGAUUACAUGUAUUGUAAUAUUUAGGUACAUUAAAUGGCGGGAAAUAGUA
Drosophila elegans is the source of this 5001-nucleotide long non-coding RNA. RefSeq lists it as uncharacterized. The transcript is spliced from 17 exons. Lineage: Eukaryota; Metazoa; Arthropoda; Insecta; Diptera; Drosophilidae. The record is from RefSeq and is a predicted model, not a curated record.